RNAcentral lists this ribosomal RNA (492 nucleotides) under uncultured bacterium. Its description in RNAcentral is "partial 16S ribosomal RNA". It matches the Rfam family "Bacterial small subunit ribosomal RNA", at positions 29 to 507 of the family's 1533-position model. The record is from RNAcentral.
AGUGAACGCUGGCGGUUGGCCUAACGCAUGCAAGUCGAACGGCAGCACAGUAAGAGCUUGCUCUUACGGGUGGCGAGUGGCGGACGGGUGAGGAAUACAUCGGAAUCUACUUUUUCGUGGGGGAUAACGUAGGGAAACUUACGCUAAUACCGCAUACGACCUACGGGUGAAAGCAGGGGAUCUUCGGACCUUGCGCGAUUGAAUGAGCCGAUGUCGGAUUAGCUAGUUGGCGGGGUAAAGGCCCACCAAGGCGACGAUCCGUAGCUGGUCUGAGAGGAUGAUCAGCCACACUGGAACUGAGACACGGUCCAGACUCCUACGGGAGGCAGCAGUGGGGAAUAUUGGACAAUGGGCGCAAGCCUGAUCCAGCCAUACCGCGUGGGUGAAGAAGGCCUUCGGGUUGUAAAGCCCUUUUGUUGGGAAAGAAAAGCAGCAGGUUAAUACCCCGCUGUUCUGACGGUACCCAAAGAAUAAGCACCGGCUAACUUCGUG